This 116-nucleotide ribosomal RNA is filed under the name Escherichia coli. Lineage: Bacteria; Pseudomonadati; Pseudomonadota; Gammaproteobacteria; Enterobacterales; Enterobacteriaceae. The record is from RNAcentral.
UCUGGCGGCAGUAGCGCGGUGGUCCCACCUGACCCCAUGCCGAACUCAGAAGUGAAACGCCGUAGCGCCGAUGGUAGUGUGGGGUUUCCCCAUGUGAGAGUAGGGAACUGCCAGAC